This 450-nucleotide ribosomal RNA is filed under the name uncultured Glomeromycotina. RNAcentral describes it as "SSU rRNA". It matches the Rfam family "Eukaryotic small subunit ribosomal RNA", at positions 569 to 1024 of the family's 1831-position model. Lineage: Eukaryota; Fungi; Glomeromycota. The record is from RNAcentral.
AGCAGCCGCGGUAAUUCCAGCUCCAAUAGCGUAUAUUAAAGUUGUUGCAGUUAAAAAGCUCGUAGUUGAACUUCGAGAUCAAUUUGUCGGUCGUGCCUCGGUACGUACUGGCAUUAUUGAUUUCUCCCUUCUGAAGAACCGCGAUGUCAUUAAUUUGGUGUCGUGGGGAAUCAGGACUGUUACUUUGAAAAAAUUAGAGUGUUUAAAGCAGGCGCACGCUUGAAUACAUUAGCAUGGAAUAAUGAAAUAGGACGUUUGAUUCUAUUUUGUUGGUUUCUAGGAUCGACGUAAUGAUUAAUAGGGAUAGUUGGGGGCAUUAGUAUUCAAUUGUCAGAGGUGAAAUUCUUGGAUUUAUUGAAGACUAACUACUGCGAAAGCAUUUGCCAAGGAUGUUUUCAUUAAUCAAGAACGAAAGUUAGGGGAUCGAAGACGAUCAGAUACCGUCGUAGU